RNAcentral lists this ribosomal RNA (497 nucleotides) under uncultured bacterium. RNAcentral's name for it is "partial 16S ribosomal RNA". It matches the Rfam family "Bacterial small subunit ribosomal RNA", at positions 28 to 507 of the family's 1533-position model. The record is from RNAcentral.
GAUGAACGUUGGCGGCGUGCCUAAUACAUGCAAGUCGAGCGAACAGACGAGGAGCUUGCUCCUCUGACGUUAGCGGCGGACGGGUGAGUAACACGUGGAUAACCUACCUAUAAGACUGGGAUAACUUCGGGAAACCGGCGCUAAUACCGGAUAAUAUCUUGAACCGCAUGGUUCAAUAGUGAAAGACGGUUUUGCUGUCACUUAUAGCUGGAUCCGCGCCGCAUUAGCUAGUUGGUAAGGUAACGGCUUACCAAGGCAACGAUGCGUAGCCGACCUGAGAGGGGGAUCGGCCACACUGGAACUGAGACACGGUCCAGACUCCUACGGGAGGCAGCAGUAGGGAAGCGUCCGCAAGGGGCGAAAGCCUGACGGAGCAACGCCGCGUGAGUGAUGAAGGUCUUCGGAGCGUAAAACUCUGUUAUUAGGGAAGAACAAAUGUGUAAGUAACUAUGCACGUCUUGACGGUACCUAAUCAGAAAGCCACGGCUAACUACGUG